Molecule: long non-coding RNA, 2650 nt
Organism: Homo sapiens (human)
Lineage: Eukaryota; Metazoa; Chordata; Mammalia; Primates; Hominidae
Gene: MAP3K9-DT
Product: MAP3K9 divergent transcript
Source: Ensembl
GUCCGUUUCCUGGGAGAGUUCAGCACCUCCCGGCAGGAAGAGGCUCCGGCCUCAUUGGGUGCGUGAGAAGGGAAGGGUGGAUCCUAAAAGGUAAUACUGAGCCUUCAUUCAAACUAAAAGGCUGGAAGGGAGGCAGCUGCCUUUGUUUGCCAUGGAUGGGUAGGGGCUGCACUGAGCAGCACCGGUGUUCUUCAUCCGGCUGCACCCCCAACAGAGCUCUUUCUUCCCCAGAUCCCUUUUACAGUUGGAUUCUCCCUCUUGGAUCUGGCUCUGCCUUAGUCCGACCUAGAGGGAUCAGCUUCGCCCACGCCCACUCUCACCCGGAACCUUUCAUCUCUUAUUGAAGCCUUUUAGGCCCAUUGGGAUGUUCAUUAGAACUCUGAAAACUACAGUUCUCCCCUUUAUGAGGACUGCACCACAGCUCGCCCUCUCCUGGGUUCCGGUAAGAAGAGAUUCCAAUACCACUCUUUUUUCAGAAUUCAGAAAGGCAAGAGACCACCUUACUGAGCUUCAAACUGGGGCUGGGAACGCUGCCAUGAAUUGGGCUUGGUCUGUCUGAAGGGAGCCACCUUUUCGACAAUCCUUAGACUUCUUUUGCCUGUUGGAAUUACACCUUGGAUCGUGGCGAAGUCUAUAGAGGUCAGAUUAAGAAGAACCAAAGCAGAAUAAACGUAGAACCCGAUGCUGAGUUCACGAGUGAGGACGACCUCUUCCUAUAUGCUUUGCUAUACCCUGCGUUUUGAACAUUAAGGACGAGAUAGGAGGCCCAUAAUGUUUCUUCUUGCUUUAAUCCUGUCGUGGCAACGUUGACUUCCAGUAAGAAAGCCUGGUUGCAGAGUGAGCCCAUGGGACAGCCCUCUGAAAUUAUACUGCUUACAACCAUGCUGAGUCUGCAAGGACUUCGUCCAAGCCUUUCCGUCCAGGACCUCAAACAGAUCCAAUCACAAGAAGAGAGAUUUCAGGAAAGAGAAAAUUAUUCCUAUCAUCGGGGUUUUUGAAGAACAUGAAAUGACUGGGAAAAUAAUCAUGUUAAGUGGAAAAAAAAAAGAAAUCUAUCUGUUGUAAUUUUCAAAUAAUUUUUAAAUAAAUUUGAAAAAUUAAGAGAACUAUAUAUAUAAUACAUUCCUAAUCUUGUGAAAAAUAUAUAUGCAUUAAUAUUAUUGAAAGAAAUAUAUCAAAAGGUGAACAGCAAUUAUCACCAAUCUAGAUUAUGAGAUUAGGAGUGAUUUUUUUUCUUUGUCCUAUACUAUUUAAUAUUUUCUACCAUUAAAAUAUUCUGAUUUUCUAAUUAGAAUAGUACGUUAGACAAAGAAGGACAAAUAUCACAUGAACUCUCACUCUCUUAUGGAACAGAUCUUGUGGAAUCUAAAAAAGUUGAACUCAUAGAAAAAGAGGAAAAUGAUGGUUACCAGUUAGAAAAAAGGAAUAAGUUCAAGAGAUCUAUUGUACACCAUGGUCAAUAUAGUUAACAAUAUAUUUUAUACUUUAAAAUUGCUAAGGUAGUAGAUUUUAAGUGUUCUCACCACACAAAAAAAUAAGUAUGUGAAAAGCAUAUGGUAAUUAGCUUGAUUUAACCACGCCACAGUGCAUACAUAUGUCAAAACAUCAUGUUGUAUACUAUAAAUAUAUACACUUUUUGUCAAUUUUAAACAGGUUAUAAAAAAACAUGUUAUUGUUGAUAAUUAUGAAAAAUUUUAAUGAUGUGGAAAUGUGUACAGUAUAAUGAUAAAUGAAAGAGUAGUAAAAAUCCUUAUAAAAUAUAAUUACAAAUGUGUUGGGUGGAUAAUAUAAAAAUCUUAACAGCUAUUUCUGAGCUAAGUGGUGGAGCAUGGGUAAUUUUUAGUGCCUUCUGUGUCAGGCUGUUCUUGCAUUGCUAUGAAGAAAUACCUGGCCAGGCGCGGUGGCUCACGCCUAUAAUCCCGGCACUUUGGGAGGCCAAGGCGGGUGGAUCACCUGAGGUCAGGAGUUCGAGACCAGCCUGGCCAACAUGGUGAAACCCCGUCUCUACUAAAAAUACAAAAAUUAGCCAGGUAAGGUGGUGCGUGCCUGUAGUUCCAGCUGCUGGGGAGGCUGAGGCAGGAGAAUCGUUUGAACCCAGGAGGCGGAGGUUGCAGUGAGCUGAGAUAGCCUGGGUAACAGACCAAGACUCUGUCUCAAAAAAAAUAAAAAUAAAAAUAAAAAAGAAAUACCUGAGAAAAGGUAAUUUAUAAAGGAAAGAGGUUUAAUUGGCUUGCGAUUCUUCAAGUUUUACAUGAAGCAUGGCAGCAUCUGAUUUUAGGGAGGCCUCAGGAAGCUUCCAAUCCUGGCAUAAAGCAACGAGGAGCAGGUACGUCACAUGGCGAAAGCAGUAACAAGAGAGAGAGUAACGGGGGAGGUGCCACACCCUUUUAAACAAUCACAUCUCAUGAGAACUCACUAUCCUGAAGACAGCACCAAGGGGAUAGUGCUAAACCAUGCAUGAAAAAUCCGCCCCCAUGAUCCAAUCGCCUCCCACCAGGCCCCACCUCCCACAUUGGGGAUUACAAUUCAACAAGAGAUUGGGGCGGGGACAGACGGCCAAACUAUGUCACCUUCAUUUUACUUUUCUUUUUCCUACAGCAAAAAUAACCAUGUGAUAUUUGUGUAAUUGUAAUAAAGAACUACAAAAUCA